Rattus norvegicus (Norway rat) is the source of this 2510-nucleotide non-coding RNA. NCBI's taxonomy places the organism in Eukaryota, Metazoa, Chordata, Mammalia, Rodentia, Muridae. The record is from RefSeq and is a predicted model, not a curated record.
UCCAAUUAGUGCUGACCAUAUAUCAUAUAUGAAGAGAUGCAAGGCCAGCCACUAGGGAGUGGACAGCCUACCAGUAGCCACAUCCCCACAGAAAAGUGAUUUUCUCUCCUUGAGUAGCCAUCAACUGCCAGAAGUUCCUCAGCUAGGGGUGGGCCCUCCAGAUUCCUUCUUCCUGUUUUCUGUUUUCGUUUGGUUUUCUGGGUCCCUCCUCCUCCAUUAUUGUAGGAAAUCUGGUCACGAACCUUGAAUGAGUCUGAGGUCAUGUCCCAUAUUGCCAGACUGUCCCCACAGCCUUCUUGUUAUUAUUUGUCUGUCCUGUGUUGACUGUUUGUCCACUGGAGUCUGGUUAGAUAAGCUUUGACUUUAGUGUUCCCGUCUUUCCUCCUGGGUUCACAGAGGGCCCAUGAGUCAGAGCUACAGUAAAUGGUCAGUACACACGCACCACUCCAAGGUCCCGUUCAGGUGGACUUUAACCAGGUGACUGAUGGAAUCUUCUAUACCUCUUUGCUUCUCUACCUGUACGUUUCGUAAUGUAAUUCAUGACAAGUCACAGUCCCCAGUUUACCCUUGUCAAGGGCUCUAGUCCCUUUGUACCACCCCCAGGACCCCACUUAAGGGACAGCCACAUCUCAACGUAAUUGAGUGCUUGGUGUCUAAUCACGGUCUACGAACAAGACCAUCCAGUAAUAUGCCUGAAAUACUAAAAGACAAGAACAGCAUAGUUUUAUCCUCCUGUGGAAGGGUCUCUGGCUCGAGUGCCCCCUGGGAUUUGGUGUCUCGUUUAUGUUUGCUCUCUGGUAUCUUUCAGUACCAAAGCACCUGAAAGACUCAUCUGUGUACACCAUCACUGACAAGACUUAAAUGUCCUUGUCCCUAAACUUCACAGGCACAAGGCAGAAGGUGAAUGUCCAGUCAGUGGACCCUUGUCAGUUCCUUACUUCCUGUCCCUUGCUUCUCCCCCUGUGACGCCGUGCCUCCAGUCUGCCUGUCCCCUAAGGAGAGUUGGGCUGGGGUAGAAGAAGACUUGGAUGAAUCACGCAAGCACGCGAACCUUGGAAUGGAGAGCUGCUGCUGCCACCACCGCUGCCGCUGCUCAGGGAGUGCCUUUAACUCAGCUGCUUGCCAAGUUUGAGGUGUGGUGCUGAAUGAAACUGUGUGCCACACGCCCUGCCCUGAGAGCCCUGAGUCACGUGUUGACGGCUCACUCUCCCUAGUCCUAAUCCACUACACCCUCAAAACCAGCUUAGUCAGCAUGAAGUGCUUCUAACAGCAGCGGAGCAGAUGGAUCAGACACCUGCCAGCCUGCAGGUCCCUCAGGUCUGUCUGACGCUGGGUCUGUCUGGCUGUGGAUCUUGCCACACAUCUGGAACCAGAUGCUCAUGACUCCAGUCCAUGAGAUGCCCUCACUUGCACAUACCUCCUCGUUGAGUGAAAGCUCAGUCACGUUGGCCUUGAAGAUUGAUCAUCACAGUAGCAGUCAACCUACGCCAUUAGAGACAUUAGAAAGGAUCUUCCACAUCCUCAGAUGCCAACCUGAAAAUUAUACCCCAAAGUAUUCACACCACCUUUACUCUUGUUCUCCUAUCUUGGUGCAGAUUUAUUUCAUAGUUUAUUGUCUAAUCAGCUAAAACUCUUCCAAAUAUGUUUUUUUCUUCUAUAUUUCUAAUUCCAGAGUCACCAAUGUGCUCUCUUGAAUUUAAUUGUUCAGAAAAGCUGCAGCUGUGGGGUGACAGACGUUUUAGGAAUUAAGUAACUGUUUAGUUCAGAUUUUAACUUUCUACUUACUAUUUGAAGCAAUUCCUGCUUGUUUUAAGUAGUUUUUACAAGCAAAUGAUGCCCUUUGGUCUAGCCAUAGGUCCUGUGGCUUUGUUGGAAUAGUUAUGAUGGUCUUUUAUCCUUUGCCAUGUGCAGUAUCAGGGCAUGGAGGGAUAUGCUCGCUCAUUUUGGGUCAUCUUGAUACAAGAUACAGAUAUUUGGGAGGAAGGCACCUCAAUUGUGAAAACACUGCACCAGAUUUACCUGUGAGAAAACUGUGUGCAUUUUCUUGAUUGGUGAUUGGUUUGGAAGUGUCCAGCUCACUGCGGGCAGUGCCAACCCUAGGCAGGCAGUCCUAAGUUGUGUAAGAAAGCAGGCUGAGAAAGCCACAAGAAGCAAGUCAGUAAGCAGCAUUCCUCUAAGGCUUCUACUCCAGUUCCUGUCUUCAGGUUCCUGUCCUGAGUUCUCACCCUCAGCGAUAGAUUUAUAAGUGGUAAAAUGGGAAACAACAACAACAACAACAACCACCCCUUUCCUCCUCAAGUUGUUUCGGCCCUGGUGUUUCAUUAUAAGAAGAGAAAACCUAGGGCUGGAGAGAUGGCUCAGUGGUUAAGAACACUUCUGUUCUUCCAGAGGUAUUGAGUUCAAUUCCCAGCAAGACGGUGACUCACAACCAUCUGUAAUGGGAUCUGAUGCCCUCUUCUGGUGUGUCUGAAGAGAGCUACAGUGUACUUAUAUAUAAUAAAUAAAUCUUU